AACCAUAGAAACCUGCGGAGUACCUGCGGAAGGAUCAUUACAGAGUUGCAAAACUCCCACAAACCAUCACGAAUCUUACCCGUACGGUUGCCUCGGCGCUGGCGGUCCGGAAGGCCCUCGGGCCCCCGGACCCUCGGGUCCCCCGCUCGCGGGGGGCUGCCCGCCGGAGUGCCGAAACCAAACUCUUGAUAUUUUAUGUCUCUCUGAGUAAACUUUUAAAUAAGUCAAAACUUUUAACAA
RNAcentral lists this unclassified non-coding RNA (240 nucleotides) under soil metagenome. Its description in RNAcentral is "partial contains 5.8S ribosomal RNA, internal transcribed spacer 2, and large subunit ribosomal RNA". The record is from RNAcentral.